Molecule: long non-coding RNA, 1114 nt
Filed under: Anas platyrhynchos platyrhynchos (common mallard)
Lineage: Eukaryota; Metazoa; Chordata; Aves; Anseriformes; Anatidae
Description: lncRNA (ENSAPLG00000017807.1)
Source: RNAcentral
CCUGCUCUGGAAGAUGAGGGACACAGAACACCUCCCCUGACACGUGGGGCUCAACAGUCGAAGCCAUCAGCCUGUGCAAGCCCCAGUGAGCACAGCGCUGCCGUGAUGGUGGAGAGCCAGGGACGUGCCCGACAUGCCUGCAGUGUCUCUGAUGAAGAGCUGGAUGAAAGAGUUGACACCAUCGUGGCUGCAGUCCUACUCCACUCUGUAGCCAUCAUCCAGGGAGCCCCAAGCAAGGCAGCAAGUGCUCCCUGGGUCACAGUGCCCAGGGUGCCUCCUCCCACACCAGAGCCUGCAGAAUGUACAUCCUCGGCCUCUGCCUUGGCCGGAGGCCCUGUGGGGGAGGCCAAUGAAGCCCCUCUCGCUGCAGCAGCAGCGCCACAAGAAGAAGGUGGAGAAGGGGCUUCUCCUUUGGCUGCAGAGCCUCUCCAGGAGCCCAGCAGAGAUUUCCGCCCAGCAGCAGCUGACAAAGCAGGAGCAGCAGCCAGUCCCUUGGUUCCUGGGCACCAGGUGGCCAUCGAGCAGGGAGGCCAAGCGCAGUCCUCCUCCUGCACCAAAGAUACGACAGCAGAUGAGCCAGCAACAUCCCAGACACAAGCACCAUCCCAGGAUCUGUUGGCCGGGCCUGUUCAGCGCAGCGAGCAGCAGCAAGCACAAGGUUGGCAGCACCACGCGCAGCGGGGCUGGCUGGUCCUGGGCCACCCCUUCCCGGGGAAAGGCCUUGGAGGGGGGGACAGGCUCGCCCAGCACCCGCUCAGGCCCUAACCUACACCUCUGUGUCCCCCACAGGCAUCCAUGACCUCGCACAAGCCCCGGCACGCCAGCCACGGCCCUCCCGCAUCAGGAGGGCACUUCGCGCGCUGCGCAGGGCUUUCCGCUGCAGCUGCAUCACAGGACAGCGAGAGUAGCCGCGCCCGGCUGUGCCAGUACCAGGAGGAUGCUCGGAGCUGGCAGCUGGCCCUCAGGAAGCUUUGCAGCGCCCACGGAAGCAUCACUGCGAGGCACAGGACAGCGCCCCAGGAAUUCAGAUGCCCCACCACAUCCUGCCCCCAGCCUCAGCUCAGCUGCGGCUGCUUUCUGCUCUGAAUAAAACUCAGGCAGACUUUUCCCUCCA